GACGAACGCUGGCGGCGUGCCUAAUACAUGCAAGUCGAGCGAAGGGAUGCGGGGGCUUGCACCGGAAAAACUGAGCGGGAAAGGGGAGAGAAACAUGGAUAGAAUCCGUAUCAGAGAGGGGGAAAAUCAUGGGAAAGGAGAUAAAAUAGCGGAUAAUAGCAAUAAGCGCGGGGCUGAAGUGAAAGAGGGGGUUGUGCUAACACAUAGAUAGGGCUGCGCGGUGCAUGAGCGAGUUGGUGGGGUAAAGGCCUACCAAGGCGACGAUGCAUAGCCGACCUGAGAGGGUGAUCGGCCACACUGGAACUGAGACACGGCCCAGACUCCUACGGGAGGCAGCAGUAGGGAAUCUUCCGCAAAGGGCGAAAGCCUGACGGAGCAACGCCGCGUGAGUGAUGAAGGUCUUCGGAUCGUAAAGCUCUGUUGUUAGGGAAGAAUGAUUGUGUAAGUACCUUUCCCCAUCUUGACGGUACCUAACCAGAAAGCCACGGCUAACUACGUG
This 499-nucleotide ribosomal RNA is filed under the name uncultured bacterium. RNAcentral's name for it is "partial 16S ribosomal RNA". It matches the Rfam family "Bacterial small subunit ribosomal RNA", at positions 28 to 507 of the family's 1533-position model. The record is from RNAcentral.